UACGGCAAAAAUACCAGAUUCCGUUAAGGUUCAAGAAAUUCAGGACGUGGUUAAAAAGGCACAUCUUGGGGCCUACCUUGGACUUACUGACGCAAGUCUGGGAUCGGGUUCCAGGAAUACGCAUUUCAGCAAGCUCUUCAGGUCUAAAAAUUCUCCAGCUCAGAGAUCCAACUGGAUGAGAGGGAAGGUCGUGUGAGGACAGGUGGCUGUGUGCUCUAGAACAGAGCUUUCACCAGACACUGAACUGUACCAGAACUGUGAUUUUGGACUUUCCAGCCUCC
This is a long non-coding RNA of Camelus dromedarius (Arabian camel), 281 nucleotides long. RefSeq lists it as uncharacterized. The transcript is spliced from 3 exons. NCBI's taxonomy places the organism in Eukaryota, Metazoa, Chordata, Mammalia, Artiodactyla, Camelidae. The record is from RefSeq and is a predicted model, not a curated record.